UACGGAGGGCGCGAGCGUUACCCGGAUUUACUGGGCGUAAAGGGCGUGUAGGCGGCUUGGGGCGUCCCAUGUGAAAGGCCACGGCUCAACCGUGGAGGAGCGUGGGAUACGCUCAGGCUAGACGAUGGGAGAGGGUGGUGCAAUUCCCGGUGUAGCGGUGAAAUGCGCAGAUACCGGGAGGAACGCUGAUGGCGAAGGCAGCCACCUGGCCCACUGGUGACGCUGAGGCGCGAAAGCGUGGGGAGCAAACCGG
This 253-nucleotide ribosomal RNA is filed under the name uncultured bacterium. RNAcentral describes it as "partial 16S ribosomal RNA". It matches the Rfam family "Bacterial small subunit ribosomal RNA", at positions 524 to 776 of the family's 1533-position model. The record is from RNAcentral.